CCUACGGGAGGCAGCAGUGGGGGAUAUUGGACAAUGGGGGGAACCCUGAUCCAGCGACGCCGCGUGAGUGAAGAAGUAUUUCGGUAUGUAAAGCUCUGUCAGCAGGGAAGAAAGAAAUGACGGUACCUGACCAAGAAGCCCCGGCUAACUACGUGCCAGCAGCCGCGGUAAUACGUAGGGGGCAAGCGUUAUCCGGAAUUACUGGGUGUAAAGGGAGCGUAGACGGUUAAGUAAGUCUGAAGUGAAAGGCCGGGGCGCAACCCCGGGACUGCUCUGGAAACUAUUGAACUUGAGUGCAGGAGAGGUAAGCGGAAUUCCUAGUGUAGCGGUGAAAUGCGUAGAUAUUAGGAGGAACACCAGUGGCGAAGGCGGCUUGCUGGACUGUAACUGACGUUGAGGCUCGAAAGCGUGGGGAGCAAACAGGAUUAGAUACCCUUGUAGUC
Molecule: ribosomal RNA, 443 nt
Filed under: uncultured bacterium
Lineage: Bacteria
Description: partial 16S ribosomal RNA
Rfam family: Bacterial small subunit ribosomal RNA
Source: RNAcentral